This is a long non-coding RNA of Physeter macrocephalus (sperm whale), 1110 nucleotides long. RefSeq lists it as uncharacterized. The record is from RefSeq and is a predicted model, not a curated record. NCBI's taxonomy places the organism in Eukaryota, Metazoa, Chordata, Mammalia, Artiodactyla, Physeteridae. The transcript is spliced from 3 exons.
CAGCGGGCCGCCCGGCCGGGUCAGCGCGGCGGCGGGCUGCGGGCUAGGCCAAGGACGGGGACGAGGAGGAAGUGGCGGCGGCGGCGGCGGGACUGCGCGCCCGGAGCCCCGUUCCGCGUCCCCGCCGCCGGGAGGAGGUGCCCGCAAGCUCGCGGCGCGCGCCGGGCCGCCAGACUCGGCCUGUGGGCGAUUUCCUCCGGACCCCAGCUCCCCGCCCGAAAAGGAAGAUGCAGACCUUUCUGAAAGGGAAGAGAGUUGGCUACUGGCUGAGCGAGAAGAAAAUCAAGAAGCUGAAUUUCCAGGCCUUCGCCGAGCUGUGCAGCUGUGCACCGGGACCGUCCAUACCCAGCCUUGCAAGUAAACACUUUCCAACAGCCUCCGAGGGAGCAAACUGGGCUUCGCACGGGAGAAGACGGCCAUCUGGGCGCUGCUGUCUGUUGGCGAGCCUGCCUGGGUCCCAGGCCUGGGUCUACAACGGGCCACCCAUGUGACCCUGGGCAUGUGCCUCAGUGUCCUCAUCUUUAAAGUGAGGAUAAUGACAGUGUUAGCUCAGGGUUAUGAGCCUUAAAAAUGUCAGUGUGCAGAUGCAUACUGUGCCUGGAGCUCUGUGGACGGUGGUUGCUGUCCUUGGUGAGGGGGGAGCGGGCUUCCGCCCACGAAUGCCUUUUUAUUCCCAGAUCUUUGGCAUUUGCAGAUCGAGCGUCCCCGGCCUGGGCAGUUUUUGAGUGACCCUGAAGUCCGGGAGGGAUGCUAUAACUGCUCCUCCUGCCUGGGUGUGAGGCGUGUGGGGGGCCGGCGGGCACGGCUAAGGAGGGGCUACCCUGCCUGGUGCCUCCCAGCAUCUCCCUUCACACCCGGCCUGUGGGACUCUUAGAGCCCCUUGGGGGGCGGGGCUGCUGUCCUCACCUAUUUUAUGGAUGAGGAGCCUGAGAAAAUUACGUUAAUGCCAGAUAAUACUUUCAUUUUUUUAAGUUCUGAGAUUCAAGAGGAGUUUGCGCUGGGUUUCCUGAAAAUGCCCAGAGUCUCCAUGAGCAGUCACGAUGCUGUUAUUCACUAACCUUUAUUGUUUUAUCUUUUUGAAUAUUAAAUACGUGCAUAUGUUAACAUAAA